RNAcentral lists this transfer-messenger RNA (83 nucleotides) under Sphingomonas elodea ATCC 31461. RNAcentral's name for it is "transfer-messenger RNA Sphin_elode_31461". It matches the Rfam family "Alphaproteobacteria transfer-messenger RNA", at positions 40 to 119 of the family's 355-position model. Rfam says of the family: Bacterial tmRNA, also known as 10Sa RNA or SsrA, is named for its dual tRNA and mRNA-like properties. Its role is to liberate the mRNA from a stalled ribosome. The record is from RNAcentral. Lineage: Bacteria; Pseudomonadati; Pseudomonadota; Alphaproteobacteria; Sphingomonadales; Sphingomonadaceae.
GCCGGGUUCGCCCGGCUAUGGCGAUAAACAAUGGCGUAUAAUAGAUGCAGCGGACCCGGGGGCAGUACCCGGCGGCUCCACCA